RNAcentral lists this ribosomal RNA (508 nucleotides) under uncultured bacterium. Its description in RNAcentral is "partial 16S ribosomal RNA". It matches the Rfam family "Bacterial small subunit ribosomal RNA", at positions 28 to 507 of the family's 1533-position model. The record is from RNAcentral.
GACGAACGCUGGCGGCGUGCCUAAUACAUGCAAGUCGAACGCUUCUUUCCUCCCGAGUGCUUGCCCUCAAUUGGAAAGAGGAGUGGCGGACGGGUGAGUAACACGUCGGUAACCUACCCAUCAGAGGGGGAUAACACUUGGAAACAGGUGCUAAUACCGCAUAACAGUUUAUGCCGCAUGGCAUAAGAGUGAAAGGCGCUUUCGGGUGUCGCUGAUGGAUGGACCCGCGGUGCAUUAGCUAGUUGGUGAGGUAACGGCUCACCAAGGCCACGAUGCAUAGCCGACCUGAGAGGGUGAUCGGCCACACUGGAACUGAGACACGGCCCAGACUCCUACGGGAGGCAGCAGUAGGGAAUCUUCGGCAAUGGACGAAAGUCUGACCGAGCAACGCCGCGUGAGUGAAGAAGGUUUUCGGAUCGUAAAACUCUGUUGUUAGAGAAGAACAAGGACGUUAGUAACUGAACGUCCCCUGACGGUAUCUAACCAGAAAGCCACGGCUAACUACGUG